CGAAACAAUAUUCAGAUGCAAAACUAUUAAAGGUUGUAGAUACAAAAACACAAAGUAACGAACGAGGAAUUUUACAACUUUUUAAAACACUGCUUGAAAGUUGCCAGGACAAUUUAUCAUUGUACCAAAAGAAAUUCGUCAAAUGCCAGCUUUUCAUCACUGAGUGAGAUGGAGGCCUAUCAAGUCUGAAGAGCAAGUCUCUGGGAUGGGAAGGAAAGACUAUAGAGAACUUGAAGUUCAUUAUCUCGCAUAAAGUUCAGCUUUCUGAAACUCUUCUUGAAAGCGGAAAAGACAGUUUAUCAUUAUACAUCAAAAGACAUGCGGAGUUAUUUGUCCGAUUAUGCAUCACUGAGAGAGGUGGAUGCAUCGAGUCUAAAGAGCAAUUUUCUAAAUCACUGCUUGAAAGAGUCAUUGCAUCAAACGGACAUUGUUAUUAGUCUGGUGCCUCACGGAGUGAGAUGGAAGCCUAUAUAGUGUAAAGAGUAAAGAGCAAUUUUCUAAAUCACUGCUUGAAAGAAUCAUUGCAUCAAACGGACAUUGUUAUUAGUCUGGUGCCUCACGGAGUGAGAUGGAAGCCUAUAUAGUGUAAAGAGUAAAGAGCAACUGAUCCUCUGCUAAUAAGUGCUAAUACAAUACAAUGCAGCAAUAAUCGCGAAAGUCGUU
Non-coding RNA from Styela clava, 663 nucleotides. NCBI's taxonomy places the organism in Eukaryota, Metazoa, Chordata, Ascidiacea, Stolidobranchia, Styelidae. The record is from RefSeq and is a predicted model, not a curated record.